CCAAUAGCGUAUAUUAAAGUUGUUGCAGUUAAAAAGCUCGUAGUUGAAUUUCGGGCCUGGCUGGACGGUCCGCCCUUCGGGUGAGUACUGUCUGUGGUCGGGUCCUACCUUCUGGCGAAGCGUCAUGGCCUUAACCGGCCGUGGCGGGGAACCAGGACUUUUACUGUGAAAAAAUUAGAGUGUUCAAAGCAGGCAAAUCGCUUGGAUACAUUAGCAUGGAAUAAUGGAAUAGGACAAUGGUUCUAUUUGUUGGUUUCUAGGACCGUUGUAAUGAUUAAUAGGGAUAGUUGGGGGCAUUAGUAUUCAAUUGUCAGAGGUGAAAUUCUUGGAUUUAUUGAAGACUAACUACUGCGAAAGCAUUUGCCAAGGAUGUUUUCAUUAAUCAAGAACGAAAGUUAGGGGAUCGAAGACGAUCAGAUACCGUCGUAGUCUUAACCAUAAACUAUGCCGACUAGGAAUCGGGCGAUGUUGAAAAAAUGACGCGCUCGGCACCUCAUG
RNAcentral lists this unclassified non-coding RNA (498 nucleotides) under uncultured Paraglomus. RNAcentral describes it as "SSU rRNA". It matches the Rfam family "Eukaryotic small subunit ribosomal RNA", at positions 591 to 1092 of the family's 1831-position model. The record is from RNAcentral. Lineage: Eukaryota; Fungi; Glomeromycota; Glomeromycetes; Paraglomerales; Paraglomeraceae.